This 253-nucleotide ribosomal RNA is filed under the name uncultured bacterium. RNAcentral describes it as "partial 16S ribosomal RNA". It matches the Rfam family "Bacterial small subunit ribosomal RNA", at positions 524 to 776 of the family's 1533-position model. The record is from RNAcentral.
UACGAAGGGGGCUAGCGUUGCUCGGAAUCACUGGGCGUAAAGGGUGCGUAGGCGGGUUUUUAAGUCAGAGGUGAAAUCCUGGAGCUCAACUCCAGAACUGCCUUUGAUACUGAGGAUCUUGAGUACGGGAGAGGUGAGUGGAACUGCGAGUGUAGAGGUGAAAUUCGUAGAUAUUCGCAAGAACACCAGUGGCGAAGGCGGCUCACUGGCCCGUAACUGACGCUGAGGCACGAAAGCGUGGGGAGCAAACAGG